ACUCUCUUAGUAUAACUAAUAUAGCUGACUUCCAAUCAGUAGAUUCUGAUAUAAACGGAAGAGAGUA
This 67-nucleotide transfer RNA is filed under the name Hylomyscus anselli (Ansell's wood mouse). Its description in RNAcentral is "tRNA-Gly". The record is from RNAcentral. Lineage: Eukaryota; Metazoa; Chordata; Mammalia; Rodentia; Muridae.